RNAcentral lists this ribosomal RNA (497 nucleotides) under uncultured bacterium. Its description in RNAcentral is "partial 16S ribosomal RNA". It matches the Rfam family "Bacterial small subunit ribosomal RNA", at positions 28 to 507 of the family's 1533-position model. The record is from RNAcentral.
GAUGAACGCUGGCGGCGUGCCUAAUACAUGCAAGUCGAGCGAACAGACGAGGAGCUUGCUCCUCUGACGUUAGCGGCGGACGGGUGGGUAACACGUGGAUAACCUACCUAUAAGACUGGGAUAACUUCGGGAAACCGGAGCUAAUACCGGAUAAUAUAUUGAACCGCAUGGUUCAAUAGUGAAAGACGGUUUUGCUGUCACUUAUAGAUGGAUCCGCGCCGCAUUAGCUAGUUGGUAAGGUAACGGCUUACCAAGGCAACGAUGCGUAGCCGACCUGAGAGGGUGAUCGGCCACACUGGAACUGAGACACGGUCCAGACUCCUACGGGAGGCAGCAGUAGGGAAUCGUCCGCAAUGGGCGAAAGCCUGACGGAGCAACGCCGCGUGAGUGAUGAAGGUCUUCGGAUCGUAAAGCUCUGUUAUUAGGGAAGAACAAAUGUGUAAGUAACUAUGCACGUCUUGACGGUACCUAAUCAGAAAGCCACGGCUAACUACGUG